This 71-nucleotide transfer RNA is filed under the name Bothus pantherinus (leopard flounder). RNAcentral describes it as "tRNA-Tyr". It matches the Rfam family "tRNA". Rfam says of the family: Transfer RNA (tRNA) molecules are approximately 80 nucleotides in length. Their secondary structure includes four short double-helical elements and three loops (D, anti-codon, and T loops). The record is from RNAcentral. Lineage: Eukaryota; Metazoa; Chordata; Actinopteri; Pleuronectiformes; Bothidae.
GGCAGGGUGGCUGAGUGUUAUAGCGGUGGAUUGUAGACCCAUGGACGGAGGUUAGAUUCCUUUUCCUGUCA